RNAcentral lists this long non-coding RNA (763 nucleotides) under Pan troglodytes (chimpanzee). RNAcentral describes it as "lncRNA (ENSPTRG00000053614.1)". The record is from RNAcentral. Lineage: Eukaryota; Metazoa; Chordata; Mammalia; Primates; Hominidae.
GCUGGGUGCAGUGGGCACUUGGCCACCAGGACUCCCCAGGUGCUGAAGAGACCCCAGCUGGAGGGGCUGCCCCUUCCCCCGGGUCGGCCCUGACCCUGUCCACCCCACCUCAGGACGUUCUCCAGGGGUCACUCCGGGAUGCACUCGGACCCCCUGCCCGCUGCACUCAGCCUCCCAGGCCCCAGCCGCCCGCCUGGCAGGGGAGCUUGGCUUUUCGGGCUAGAGGAGGGUGGGGGCGCCGGGAAAGGAGGCAGGAUUCCUCACACCAGGCACCGUCCCCCAGGGCACCUCAGGCACCAAGAGCCUGAAUAAUUCACCAAAUGUUAAUAAUUUAAAAGUCCUCCUUUUUAAUUGCUUUCCCUGCUCUGCCUGGGGCCGCUCUGCUGGCCGCGCAGGGGAGGGGGCGCCGGCCGCCGGGGAGCGCGCUGUCAAUCAGGCCCCGCCGCCGCCGCCCCCGCCCCCGCCCCCGCCCCCGCCCCGCCGCGGAGCCGGCUGUAAAUAACCCCGGCCGCCAGCGCGGGGGCGCUGGGCCUCGCUGGGAUCGAUGCGGGCGGCCGCGCCGGCUGGGCUCUGCGGGCUGGCACCCGGCCCGGGGCGGGACCCACCUCCGCUUUCGGAUCUCCUGAGGGUCCGGCAGGAGGUGGCAGCUGCAGCUCUGAGGGGCCCCAGUGGCCUGGAAGCCCACCUGCCCUCCUCCACGGCAGGUCAGCGUCGGAAGCAGGGCCUGGCUCAGCACCGGGAGGGCGCCGCCCCAGCUGCCGCC